CCGGGUGGCCGCCCACCGCCUCCUCGGCGCCGGGAGCAGCAGAGAUGUUGGCCCUCCCAGAUUGCUAGAGAGGCUCUGGAGGGCCCGGGGAGGCGACGCGCGUGCGCGACAUGGGCAGCCUGGAGAUAGGCGCGGGCCCGGCGGCCGAUGGCUCACUUGGAGGGUCGGCUGUGGGUCCGCGGCCGGAGUGGCUCAACUUGUUUCCCCGGUUCCUGCCUUUCCCCAAGCUGGGAGCUCUGGAGACCAAGCAGGAACAACUGUGCUUCGGAUGGUCAGGUGCCAGGACACUGCGGCAUGUGAGGACCUGUCUGUGGAUGACACUGAGCAGAAGUGGAAAGGUCUGGCAUUCAGUCAGAGAGCCCUGUACUGGAACGUAAUGCUGGAAAACUACCACAGCUCGGCCUCGUUGGAAGGUGAGAACAGGAUGAAGAGUUCAGAGUUGACUUUGAAGCAGGACAUUUCUAAUGGAUCAGAGUCAUCUGCUAGGACAAUAGGGGGGCUCUUUGCAGUGGUUCCUAGGGGAAUGGAGGCUGGAUAUGUCCAUGAAAAUACUUCUAAGAAGCUAGAAGGGUAACCCUCAGAUGAAGAAGAGAGCAGACUACAGAGUGAUUUCUUGAGAAUAACAGACAAGGGUAAGAAAAAAUCCAGAAAAGACAGGGAUGAGGAAUGUAAGGAGGUUGGGAAACAUCAAAAUAUGUCCUCCAGUCCUGCUGAACAUGGGGGAACUCCAAAAGGACAGAAGUCCUAUCAGUGUGAUGAAUGUGGGAAAGCUUUCAGUUGGAAUUCACACCUCAUUGGCCAUCAGAGAAUCCACACUGGAGAGAAACCCUAUGAGUGUAAUGAAUGUGGUAAGACCUUCAGGCAGACUUCUCAGCUCAUCGUUCAUUUGAGAACACACACAGGGGAAAAACCUUAUGAAUGCAGUGAGUGUGGAAAGACCUAUAGGCAUAGCUCCCAUCUCAUUCAACACCAGAGACUCCACAAUGGGGAGAAACCUUAUAAAUGUAAUGAAUGUGGAAAAGCUUUUAAUCAGAGUUCCAAACUCUUUGACCACCAGAGAACUCAUACUGGAGAGAAACCUUAUGAAUGCAAGGAGUGUGGGGUGACAUUUAGUCGGAAUAAAAAUCUUGUCCGACAUCAGGUCCUUCACAGUGGUAAGAAACCUUAUAAGUGUAAUGAGUGUGGGAGAGCUUUCUGUUCCAACAGAAAUCUUAUUGACCAUCAGAGAAUCCACACUGGGGAGAAGCCUUAUGAGUGUAAUGAAUGUGGCAAGGCCUUUAGUCGGAGUAAAUGCCUUAUUCGACAUCAGAGCCUCCAUACUGGGGAAAAGCCAUACAAAUGUGGUGAAUGUGGGAAAGCCUUCCAUCAGAACUCUCAACUUGCUGACCAUGAGCGAAUUCAUACUGGAGAAAAACCAUUUGAAUGUAGUGAGUGUGGUAAAGCAUUCAGUCUGAGUAAAUGUCUUAUUCGACACCAGAGACUUCACACAGGUGAAAAGCCCUAUAAGUGCAGUGAGUGUGGAAAAUCCUUUAAUCAAAACUCGUACCUCCUUAUACACCAGAGAAUUCACACUGGUGAGAAACCCUAUGAAUGUCAUGAGUGCGGAAAGGUCUUCAGUUAUAGCUCUAGCCUAAUGGUCCAUCAGAGAACCCAUACUGGGGAAAAACCCUAUAAAUGUAACGAUUGUGGGAAAGCCUUCAGUGACAGCUCCCAGCUCAUUGUGCACCAGAGAGUUCACACUGGAGAGAAACCUUAUGAGUGUAGUGAGUGUGGGAAAUCCUUUAGUCAGCGUUCCACUUUUAAUCACCACCAACGAACUCACACUGGAGAGAAGCCCUCCAGUCUGACUCAGUCAGUUUCUUAAGGCCUGGUUCUCUGAGACAGAGAGCAAAGACCUUUGAGUUAAGCUUUCUUUAUAAGGAUGCUUUUCCUGGUCUCCCUUUGGAAGAAGUAAUCAUUUUGAACCUUUGCCUGCCUGGUUUCCUUUGGGUCACUAAGGUAUUUAUUUAUUUAUUUAGUUUUUUCCAGACAGAGUCUCAACUAUGUCACCCUCCGUAGACUGCCAUGGAGUUACUGCUCACAGCAACCUCGAAGUCUUGGGCUUAAGCAGUUCUCUUGCCUCAGCCUCCUGAGUAGCUGGAACUACAGGUGCCCGCCACAACGCCCAUCUGUUUUUUGGUUGCAUUUGUCAUUGUUGUUUAGAAGGCUCAGGCUGGGCUCGAACCCGCCAGCUUUGGUGUACAUGGCGGGCGCCCUACUCACUGAGCUAUGGGCACUGAACCUUUCUACUGGUUUUUCAGUCUUGAGGAGCUUUGUUAGGUGAGUGGUCCUGGGCAAAUCACUUAGCUUCCUUGUAGGUCCCUCCAUCUAUUAAAUGGAGCUACCUCAUAGGAUUGUGAGAAUUAUAUUAGCUCAUAUGUAUAAGGUACUUAAAAUAGUGCUUGGCACUUAGUACAUAGUCUUGCAAUUAUUAUUAGAGUUUUGGUUCAGUGGAUAGGGUGCCGGCCCCAUAUGCCAAGGGUGGCAGGUUCAAACCUGGCCCCAGCCAAACUGCAACAACAAAAAAAUAGCCAGGCAUUGUGGUGGGUGCCUGUAGUCCCAGCUAGUCGGGAGGCUGAGGCAAGAGAAUUGCCUGGGCCCAGGAGUUGGAGGUUGCUGUGAGCUGUGUGACGCCAUGGCAUUCUAUGGAGAGCGAUAGAGUGAGACUCUGUCUCUACAAAAAAAAAAAAAAUUCAUUGUAAUUUUAUUGGCUAUGUCCUUUUUUUAUAAUUCAUUUUGUUGGCCAGUUUCCAAACACGAUCUAUUUCUGUCAUGUGAGGAACAGCAUUCCUCCCCUUCACAGUGGUCACAGUUCCAUCCUGGAAUUGGAGACACUCAUCAGACAUUAAAACAUGCCUGUUCUUUGAUCUUGGGUUUCCCAGCUUCUAAAACUGUGAGAAAUAAAUUUUUAUGCUUUGUAAUUACCUUAUCUCAGGUAUUCUGUUGUAGUAGCACAACAGAUUAAGACACACCCUAAGGAUGGCUACCUGUUAACUGAGACUGUGCCCAAAGGGCUGAACUCUGCAGUGGCGAUGGCUGUGCAGGCUAAUCUAACAGUGAUUCUGCUGCAUAUUUAGACUCAUGGGAUUUUGCAAAUGGGCUAGCCAUAUGGUCCAGUGACUGGCAGAUUAAUGAUUGUGCAGGAGAUGCGACAUGAUUAACUGUGCCACAUCAGCUGGGGCAAAGGGCCCAUGAGAGUGUGGCAUUAUUCCGUGAAGGGGCUGUAUACGCGAAGUGAUCCCCAAAUGCAAGUGGAGCCAUGAAACCGAAGAAUGGGGCAAACAAAUCAGCUCCUCUGUAUAGGAUGGUUUAUUUUGGAGCCUUGUGGACUGAAGCAUGGUCUUGGGUGGUAGUAUAAAGGUAGAUCUCAAAAAAAGAAAGGUAAAUCUCUGCACUUCAACCCACCAGACCUAGGACAUAUAUCUGGGGCAGAAACUACAUGCUGUAGAGGGAAUUUGCUGGUGGAUAAGACAAUGGUGUUGGCAUCACAGCCUAUGAUUUCGGCAAUAGCUAUCAAGGGUUAUUUUGGAGAAAAGGUUAAACUUACAUUGAAUGGGUGUUUCUACA
This is an RNA transcript of Nycticebus coucang (slow loris), 3606 nucleotides long. It is a transcript of the gene named zinc finger protein with KRAB and SCAN domains 7-like, with no coding region annotated. The record is from RefSeq and is a predicted model, not a curated record. Lineage: Eukaryota; Metazoa; Chordata; Mammalia; Primates; Lorisidae. The transcript has 4 exons.